CACAGUCAAAUCAGGUUAUUGGCU
This 24-nucleotide non-coding RNA is filed under the name Arabidopsis thaliana (thale cress). Lineage: Eukaryota; Viridiplantae; Streptophyta; Magnoliopsida; Brassicales; Brassicaceae. The record is from RNAcentral.